AGUGAACGCUGGCGGUAGGCCUAACACAUGCAAGUCGAACGGCAGCACAGGAGAGCUUGCUCUCUGGGUGGCGAGUGGCGGACGGGUGAGGAAUACAUCGGAAUCUACUCUGUCGUGGGGGAUAACGUAGGGAAACUUACGCUAAUACCGCAUACGACCUACGGGUGAAAGCAGGGGACCUUCGGGCCUUGCGCGAUUGAAUGAGCCGAUGUCGGAUUAGCUAGUUGGCGGGGUAAAGGCCCACCAAGGCGACGAUCCGUAGCUGGUCUGAGAGGAUGAUCAGCCACACUGGAACUGAGACACGGUCCAGACUCCUACGGGAGGCAGCAGUGGGGAAUAUUGGACAAUGGGCGCAAGCCUGAUCCAGCCAUACCGCGUGGGUGAAGAAGGCCUUCGGGUUGUAAAGCCCUUUUGUUGGGAAAGAAAUCCAGUUAGCUAAUACCCGGUUGGGAUGACGGUACCCAAAGAAUAAGCACCGGCUAACUUCGUGCCAGCAGCCGCCGUAA
This 506-nucleotide ribosomal RNA is filed under the name uncultured bacterium. RNAcentral's name for it is "partial 16S ribosomal RNA". It matches the Rfam family "Bacterial small subunit ribosomal RNA", at positions 29 to 523 of the family's 1533-position model. The record is from RNAcentral.